UACGGAGGGAGCUAGCGUUGUUCGGAAUUACUGGGCGUAAAGCGCGCGUAGGCGGUUACUCAAGUCAGAGGUGAAAGCCCGGGGCUCAACUCCGGAACUGCCUUUGAAACUAGGUGACUAGAAUCUUGGAGAGGUCAGUGGAAUUCCGAGUGUAGAGGUGAAAUUCGUAGAUAUUCGGAAGAACACCAGUGGCGAAGGCGACUGACUGGACAAGUAUUGACGCUGAGGUGCGAAAGCGUGGGGAGCAAAC
RNAcentral lists this ribosomal RNA (250 nucleotides) under uncultured bacterium. RNAcentral's name for it is "partial 16S ribosomal RNA". It matches the Rfam family "Bacterial small subunit ribosomal RNA", at positions 524 to 773 of the family's 1533-position model. RNAcentral also lists the same sequence under 1 other name. The record is from RNAcentral.